AGCGUAGACGGUGUGGCAAGUCUGAUGUGAAAGGCAUGGGCUCAACCUGUGGACUGCAUUGGAAACUGUCAUACUUGAGUGCCGGAGGGGUAAGCGGAAUUCCUAGUGUAGCGGUGAAAUGCGUAGAUAUUAGGAGGAACACCAGUGGCGAAGGCGGCUUACUGGACGGUAACUGACGUUGAGGCUCGAAAGCGUGGGGGAGCAAACA
RNAcentral lists this ribosomal RNA (208 nucleotides) under uncultured bacterium. RNAcentral describes it as "partial 16S ribosomal RNA". It matches the Rfam family "Bacterial small subunit ribosomal RNA", at positions 568 to 774 of the family's 1533-position model. The record is from RNAcentral.